RNAcentral lists this ribosomal RNA (666 nucleotides) under uncultured Peptostreptococcus sp. RNAcentral describes it as "bacterial SSU rRNA". The stretch from base 4 to 515 matches the Rfam family "Bacterial small subunit ribosomal RNA", at positions 31 to 542 of the family's 1533-position model. Lineage: Bacteria; Bacillati; Bacillota; Clostridia; Peptostreptococcales; Peptostreptococcaceae. The record is from RNAcentral.
GAUGAACGCUGGCGGCGUGCCUAACACAUGCAAGUUGAGCGAGAAAUCACUUAAAGAAGCUUCGGUAGACUUAAGAGAUGGAGAGCAGCGGACGGGUGAGUAACGCGUGGGAAACCUGCCCUUGACAGGAGGAUAGCCGAGAGAAAUUUCGAUUAAUACUUCAUAAAGCAGAGCAUUCGCAUGGAUGAACUGCCAAAGAAUUAUCGGUCAAGGAUGGUCCCGCGUCUGAUUAGCUGGUUGGUAAGGUAGCGGCUUACCAAGGCGACGAUCAGUAGCCGGCCUGAGAGGGUGAACGGCCACAUUGGAACUGAGACACGGUCCAGACUCCUACGGGAGGCAGCAGUGGGGAAUAUUGCACAAUGGGCUAAAGCCUGAUGCAGCAACGCCUCGUGAAGGAAGAAGGCUUUCGAGUCGUAAACUUCUGUCCAAAGGGAAGAAUAAUGACGGUACCUUUGAAGAAAGCCCCGGCUAACUACGUGCCAUCAGUCGCGGUAAUUCGGUGUGGGUGGAGCGUUUCCGUAAUUACUGUGCUUUUAGAGUAUUGUAGUUGGUUAAGUGAGCGUUGGGGUUAGUGUUGUUAGUUUGAUGGUGUGUUUCUGUUUUAUAUUUUUGUAUUUUUUUGGUGUUGUGUGAGGGUGUGAGUGUUUGUUGGCUUGUAUUUGUUUU